AUACGUAGGUGACAAGCGUUAUCCGGAUUUACUGGGCGUAAAGGGUGCGCAGGUGGCACUUUAAGUUGGAUGUGAAAUCCCCGUGCUUAACAUGGGAGCUGCAUCCAAUACUGGAGAGCUAGAGUGCAGGAGAGGUAAGCGGAAUUCCUAGUGUAGCGGUGAAAUGCGUAGAUAUUAGGAGGAACACCAGUGGCGAAGGCGGGUAACUGGACUGCAACUGACGCUGAGGCGCGAAAGUGUGGGGAGCAAACAGGAUUAGAUACCCUGGUAGUCCACACUGUAAACGAUGAAUGCUAGGUGUAGGGGGUAUCGACCCCUUCUGUGCCGCAGUAAACACAAUAAGCAUUCCGCCUGGGGAGUACGGUCGCAAGAUUAAAACUCAAAUGAAUUGACGGGG
RNAcentral lists this ribosomal RNA (397 nucleotides) under uncultured bacterium. RNAcentral's name for it is "partial 16S ribosomal RNA". It matches the Rfam family "Bacterial small subunit ribosomal RNA", at positions 523 to 918 of the family's 1533-position model. The record is from RNAcentral.